CGGACGGGUGAGUAACGCGUGGGUAACCUGCCUUGUACAGGGGGAUAACAGUCAGAAAUGACUGCUAAUACCGCAUAAGACCACGGUACCGCAUGGUACAGUGGUAAAAACUCCGGUGGUAUGAGAUGGACCCGCGUUGGAUUAGCUAGUUGGUGAGGUAACGGCCCACCAAGGCGACGAUCCAUAGCCGGCCUGAGAGGGUGAACGGCCACAUUGGGACUGAGACACGGCCCAGACUCC
This 240-nucleotide ribosomal RNA is filed under the name uncultured Eubacteriales bacterium. Its description in RNAcentral is "uncultured Clostridiales bacterium partial 16S ribosomal RNA". It matches the Rfam family "Bacterial small subunit ribosomal RNA", at positions 99 to 339 of the family's 1533-position model. The record is from RNAcentral. Lineage: Bacteria; Bacillati; Bacillota; Clostridia; Eubacteriales.